GAGGAAUAUUGCGCAAUGGACGAAAGUCUGACGCAGCAACGCCGCGUGAGGGAUGAAGCUUUUAGGAGUGUAAACCUCUGUUAGGAGGGAAGAACGUCUUUAAUGCGAACAGUGUUAGAGAGUGACGGUACCUCCAGAGUAAGCCCCGGCUAACUCCGUGCCAGCAGCCGCGGUAAUACGGGGGGGGCAAACGUCGUCCGGAAUUAUUGGGCGUAAAGGGCGCGUAGGCGGAUCGGUCAGUCAGAGGUGAAAGCUCAUGGCUUAACUUUGAGUUUGCCUCUGAUACUGCCGUUCUUGAGUUCGGAAGAGGGAAGUGGAAUUCCUGGUGUAGCGGUGAAAUGCGUAGAUAUCAGGAAGAACACCGGUGGCGAAGGCGGCUCCCUGGUCCGAGACUGACGCUGAUGCGCGAAAGCGUGGGGAGCAAACAGGAUUAGAUACCCUAGUAGUCCACGCUGUAAAUGAUGGGUACUAGGUGUUGGGUGUUAUAGCUCAGCGCCGGAGCCAACGCAUUAAGUACCCCGCCUGGGGAUUACGAUCGCAAGAUUG
This 546-nucleotide ribosomal RNA is filed under the name uncultured bacterium. RNAcentral's name for it is "bacterial SSU rRNA". It matches the Rfam family "Bacterial small subunit ribosomal RNA", at positions 356 to 896 of the family's 1533-position model. The record is from RNAcentral.